AAUAUUGGGACAUAUAAAAAAAGACAACUCUGUUCCGCAGAGUAGCUGUUGACAUUAUAGUUGCGCAGGCACUUUGUGGACUCUAGAGAACCUCGGGCCAAUCGCACAUCCCCGUGACGGCGACUUUGCAUGCGGAUGUCAUCCAUAUCAACUUUCGAUGCCAGUUUCUGCGCCUACCAUGGUGACCAUGGGUAAUGGGGAAUCAGGGUUCCAUUCCGUACAGGGACCCUGAGAAACGGCUACCACAUGCAAGGAAGGCAGCAGGCGCGCAAAUGACCCACUCCCGAUGCGGGAAGGUCGUGA
Molecule: ribosomal RNA, 303 nt
Filed under: Pelobates cultripes (western spadefoot toad)
Lineage: Eukaryota; Metazoa; Chordata; Amphibia; Anura; Pelobatidae
Rfam family: Eukaryotic small subunit ribosomal RNA
Source: RNAcentral